UAGACACAUCCAUACCUUGUUAAGAAUUCUAACGUUGGCCUCCCUGUGGCGAAAAGUUUGGUUAUGUCGCAAUUGGCGAAUUAAUAACUAGAGAAACGACGAAAUAGACAAAGGAGAAGAAAAGAGUGACUGUUAUUAAAAAGUUUAAAUAAAGUAUUUAUUGGAUUGAAAUUAUUUAUUAAUAUGUCCAGCUAGAACUAAUUCAUAUGUAAAUCUAAACAUCGAUCACGUUCAACUGCGAAAGAUAAGUUAUUGCAUUCGUUAACCUAACAUAAAGAUAUAAGCAAUCAUUAUUUUUGAUGAUAGAAUGGAAGAGAUACGACGUCCGGAAUUUCGUCAUCAAUUUUACUUAUCUACAAUAAGAAAUGGUAUUGGACUCAUGACGACACAUGAACGUUGGCGUCGUGAUUUUAUUCGUUAUCGUUAAUAGUACAAUGUGAUGUGAAAUAAUUUUACAUGGAGGACAAUUAAUGAAAAAAUCCAUAUACGUGAGCGCGUUUUUGAUUACGCUUUUUUAACAAGUCAUGUUGUAUUUCUUCGAAUAUCGUUAUGAGAUAAAAAUGGUAGACUUUAUGUCGAUAAUAUGAAUGAACACUACUUAAAUCAUGGAUGUAUUAUUCGUAGAAUAAAUCUCGCUGGUUGUUCUAAUGUGUUUGACAGUUUCGUGGCAAAAGUCGAAGUCGUGAUUUCGUUCUAUUUCUUUCAUAGCGAUCUACUUAGAAAUAAUCUUAUAAUUGUAACGUCUGUACGCUGACGUCAUGGUUUCAUUCGUUAUUAUUUUUGCGGUAGGCGCAACGCUAUAUUUGUUCGAUGGAUACUAGCUCGACACGCCUUCGUAUCGUCCUUAUUGAUUUCAGCUAAAAAACAGGCGUGUCAUACAGCUAUCACAGAACUUUUUUAAGUGAUGAGUGAAUUUUUUAAUUUCUCCGAUUUUGUAAUCACUUGUGAACAAUGAAAAGGUUCGAAUCGAUACGGAUGAUUGGUUGGAAUUAAUUUGUAGAAAAGCAUUGAGUAAUUAAUUUUUCUUUGGAAAUUUAAUCUGCAAUAUGUUAUAUUUUUCUGUCAUGAAAAUAGUGAAGAAUUCGAUAAUAUGCAAAUAAGAUCAAGGUCUUAACAUGGAGUGGGCAUUUCAAAAAUCGGUCCACCCGAGCAAGAUCAGAGUAUUAAAAUCGAGCAAAAUUCCAAGAGCUCACAUCUUAGAGUUAUUGUAAUUAAUCACAUUUGGAAAAAGGUGAAUGACACUGAUUUCAUUCCUUGAUGAUCUAACUUAGAAGGAAGGUGAUAAAAAAAAGAAAAGAAAGCUAGAAAAUGCGAUGGAACGCGUACGAGCUUGAGAACGAUGGAAUUGUUAACGAUGGUUAGACAUCUUGAAGAUUCCUUCAUUCAGUUUAAAUCAGAAUAGAAAGAUGCAA
This is a long non-coding RNA of Vespa mandarinia (Asian giant hornet), 1412 nucleotides long. The record is from RefSeq and is a predicted model, not a curated record. Lineage: Eukaryota; Metazoa; Arthropoda; Insecta; Hymenoptera; Vespidae.